Long non-coding RNA from Oryzias javanicus (javanese ricefish), 2081 nucleotides. The record is from Ensembl. NCBI's taxonomy places the organism in Eukaryota, Metazoa, Chordata, Actinopteri, Beloniformes, Adrianichthyidae.
AUGUCAAUGCAGUCUUUCACCCUACCUCACACCCUCCCUCUCUCUUGUCUCCCUCUCAGCAUACUUGUGCAGUGUCCUCCCCAUCGCUUUACUUCUUUCCCCAUUCCCGCUUCGUUUCCCCCAUCCGCACUCCCAGUGUCAUCUGACCCUCUCUUCCAAAUCGAGUCACCCGCUUUGCUUUCACAUGAAACACUCGGGAGGAAGAGGAUGACAGAAGCAGACGUCCACUCGUGUGACCGAGGCAAUUCUGGGAUUAUGUGCGGUCAAUUACUGUCGCUUUCUUACCGCCUAAUGGAAUUACACUGUCUGGCAGGCUCACACGCAACAGGUAACAUGCAGGCUUCUAAACACCUAACCCAACCAGAGGAGAGAUGAGGCAUCUAGAUGUUGGUGUACCAUGAGCAGCGUCCACUUCAACCACUCCCUUGCUGCCAUGAGCGGGAACGACGUGAUGGCGCACUCUCUGACUCUGGAGCAGAAGACAGCCUUUGCCUUCGUGGGGAUGCUAAUGGUGUUCUUGGGGCUGCUGAUAGUGAGGUGUUUCAGGAUCCUGCUGGACCCCUACAGCAGCAUGCCCUCCUCCAACUGGGCCGAUGGUAUCGAGGGGCUGGAGAAAGGGACGUUUGAGUAUGCCCUUACCUAGCACAGGGACACAGAUUGGACACGUCCUCAACCAACAGAAAUGCGUGUCCCGCGUACACGCAGAGACCUGUGCAGAACCACCUGACACUCCUUUAUGACAUCUGCGUGAUGCACUGAGCCAAGGCGCUGAAGCUGUAGGUGUUCCACAUGUGUGCUUUGUUAGCUCAGAGUCUCUCACCUGUAUGUGAUUACACAUUGGCUGUGUGUACGACUGAGCGUGAGGCAGAUGCUGUGUCAUGUUCUCUGCUCUUCUGCCAGGAGCUCUGUGCUUCAGCUCAUCGAUUGGCACAGAGCUUGGCAGAAGUUCCCUUUAACCUGUACCCACAAGGUUAAUGUCUUCAGAUGAUAAAAGAAGGUUGUUUAUAAGCGGGUCUCUUCAGCGAUGUUUUGAAGACUCAGGGUGAAGAUUCCUUCAAUGAACUCAGAAUAGCGGACGGAGCGAUGGCACAUCUGCACAGCAGAACCGCUCAGCACAUGAAUGUAUGCGAAUGGAUACAGGGUAUUAAGUCUACCUAGAGCUUUGUGCACUUUCAGAUUCGUUGGCGAUCCAGAGGAAAACCUCGGCUGCCGCUCCUGCAGACCGAUCCGUUCUUGUGCUGUUGCAUUUUCGGAAGUCAUGCAGAGACAGGCAGCUGAACAUACUGUGAUUUAUAUAAAGGUGGUACUUUUUCUAAACAAUGCAAAAUCAACUCUCAGAGUUUUUACUGCUGCUGCUUUCGAGUGAUGGUACACUGUAUGCUGCCAAAACUACACAAUGGAGAGAUUGGGAAAAAAAAAAAAGACGAGGAACCCUUUUUUUUAUUUUUUGACAGCAUGUUUAAAAAAAAUGUUGCAUCCUGAUGUUUAUUCUACUGUCUUAAGACUGGGGUGACACAAAAGAGUUUUUAACGGAAUCUUGGAAAGAAAAAGACUUUAUUCUCAGCACUCAACACAAAUUUCCAACACUUCCAAAGCAGAAAGGGUAACCAGACAAACAAAUGGGAUAUAUGUGGAUUUCUCGACCUCUGUCACCUCCUCCUUUCCUUCCAGACAGAGGAAGCAGGAGCUUCCUGAACACUGAUUCACGAUACAGCAGACUGCUCAACACCUGGACUGUUCCUUUGCUAAUUUUUACUAUCUACAGUUUCUCCUUAGUGCUGUGAAUCUGCCUUACUGUGACCUUCAAUGGGUUUAUGUGCCUUCAUCUAAAAACAUUAGAGCACCUGUUUAUGUGUGUGCGUGUGGGUCGUAUCAUGACAGACUUGUUGCUUGUGGUAGAGAUUUCAUAUUAAUUUCAUGUGUGAAAUAAAAAAAACAAGGUUUUUCUUCACAAGUGUCUUUGCAUCUCAAAUGUUCACUUCAGCAGAAGGUACAUUUAAUUUUUACCAAAACAUUUGUACAACAUGACUGCUGGAAGAGGAGGAAGCAUGACUAAAAUAAAGCCCUGCUUGGGCUUCCUG